Vigna angularis (adzuki bean) is the source of this 745-nucleotide long non-coding RNA. RefSeq lists it as uncharacterized. The transcript is spliced from 2 exons. The record is from RefSeq and is a predicted model, not a curated record. Lineage: Eukaryota; Viridiplantae; Streptophyta; Magnoliopsida; Fabales; Fabaceae.
UUUGGAGCUUCUUACAUCUUCUCUUUUCAUUCUGAUAUUUCUUUUUUCCUUCACAACUUCAAUUACCUUUAGCCAAACCUUGCUCUUUGUGGGAUUUUAAGAACCAUGAGUGACAGAAAUGAAAAUGCUGCAGAACUUGGGUUGAAUUUGAACCUAUCUCCACCAAGGAUAGUUGACAAUAGACCUCAAUCUACAACUCAAUCACCAGCAGUUUUACCAGCAUCACCAUCAAACUCAUGUGUGUCCACUGAGCUUAACCAAGAUGACAGUAACAACAACAAUGUUGAAAACCCUAACAACCCAGAAGCUAUUUCCCUUAAACUAGUGGGAUGCCCUAAUUGUCUCAUGUAUAUGAUGAUCAAUGAGGAUAAACACCAUUGCCCCAGAUGCAAGAACACCACUUUGAUUUAUUUUCCUGAUGACAAAAACCCUGUCAUAAGAAAUGGAUAAAGUGUUAGACAUCUCUACCAUCAUUCUUGCAUGUUAUCUUUUUUUUUUAAGUUAUCUUUUUCCUUUAAACCCUUUCUAUAAGAAGUGCUACUUACUCAACUUUUGACCUUUAUGUCAAAAAAAUCACAAAAAGUUUAGAGUAAAUGGCGCUGCUUGUCAUAGAGGUUAUAUUUAAUAACUGAUUAUUAUACUAGGUUGACCAUCUUAAAUGUUUAGUGAGUUUGUUUUUUCUGUCAUUAAUAAAUAAUGUAAGUUUGAUUAUACUAAAUAAUAUGCAAGAUGCUUUAAUUAUCUA